AUGAAAAACCAUUGUUUUCAUUGCCAUAAAAGAAGGAUCAACAAAAGAAGGAGGAGCCCGUGGUUUGAUUUCGCUGCCCUGCAUGGAACCUCAAACUACUCAAAAUCCCAAGACCCCAGCCUCCCCGUGCAAAGCAGGGGAGCUGAGGACGCUGCCUUCCUGGGAUGCACACACUCCAUUCAGCAGACAGCUCCCUUCCCUUUGGCUGGCAGCUUCCCGUCUCACCAUAGGGCCCCGAGAAUCUGCUGCAAAGUUUCAAGAGCUGUAAUUUUACAUGUAACUAUUUCAUUCAAGACAUUAAUGACCCGGAUCACUGCAAAUAACCAUGGCAACAGCUUAUCAGCUCCAGUGAUGUCUUAGGGCUGUGGACACACUUCAUGCAGGACUUGUUACCCUUUAUAAACCGAAGUUCACUGUGUAUCCAUCCUGCCGUCACCUGAAUGAAUCAUCCCUCUGCAGCAGGCUUACUCAAUGGAGAUGGCUCUGAAAUAAAAUAUAUGGAGAAAAAUAUUAAUUUUAUUUAGCAUGUUUUUAGCACUUAAGUCUGGCAUAAACUACAAAAAAAUACUGUAAUUUUCUCCUCCCCCUACUCUUCCUUCCUUGCCUCCCCUGUCUAUUCCCUUUAUUUUGGUGCUGGAAAUGAAACCUAGGACUCCCUCAGGCUAAGCAUAUACUCCCUCCCCAAUAUACUUAGGUCCCGAUAUACUUAGGUUUGCUCCUUCCCUGGUCUGUGGAUUAGGUGUGUGAUGCUAGCAGCCAGCUGAGAAGUUAUACUUCAUCAUCGCCAUCAGUAAAUUCAGUGUUUAUGACACAGUCCUUAACAUUCCUUUAAAGAGCUUGGUGUACUUCAUGUCUGGCAGGCAUCGUUUGUAUGUACUAACUCAUUGGACCAUUUAAUAAUAGAAAUAUUCUUCUCUCUCACAUAAACGUUAC
This 933-nucleotide long non-coding RNA is filed under the name Cricetulus griseus (Chinese hamster). RNAcentral's name for it is "lncRNA (ENSCGRG00000025510.1)". The record is from RNAcentral. Lineage: Eukaryota; Metazoa; Chordata; Mammalia; Rodentia; Cricetidae.